Molecule: ribosomal RNA, 497 nt
Filed under: uncultured bacterium
Lineage: Bacteria
Description: partial 16S ribosomal RNA
Rfam family: Bacterial small subunit ribosomal RNA
Source: RNAcentral
GAUGAACGCUGGCGGCGUGCCUAAUACAUGCAAGUCGAGCGAACAGACGAUGAGCUUGCUCCUCUGACGUUAGCGGCGGACGGGUGAGUAACACGUGGAUAACCUACCUAUAAGACUGGGAUAACUUCGGGAAACCGGAGCUAAUACCGGAUAAUAUAUUGAACCGCAUGGUUCAAUAGUGAAAGACGGUUUUGGUGUAAGUUAUAGAUGGUUCCGGGCCGCAUUAGCUAGUUGGUAAGGUAACGGCUUACCAAGGCAAGGAUGCGUAGCCGACCUGAGAGGGUGAUCGGCCACACUGGAACUGGAACACGGUCCAGACUCCUACGGGAGGCAGCAGUAGGGAAUCUUCCGCAAUGGGCGAAAGCCUGACGGAGCAACGCCGCGUGAGUUAUGAAGGUCUUCGGAUCGUAAAGCUCUGUUUUGAGGGAAGAACCAAUGUGUAAGUAACUAUGCCCGUCUUGACGGUACCGAAUCAGAAAGCCACGGCUAACUACGUG